This 253-nucleotide ribosomal RNA is filed under the name uncultured bacterium. RNAcentral describes it as "partial 16S ribosomal RNA". It matches the Rfam family "Bacterial small subunit ribosomal RNA", at positions 524 to 776 of the family's 1533-position model. The record is from RNAcentral.
UACGUAGGGACCAAGCGUUGUUCGGAUUUACUGGGCGUAAAGGGCGCGUAGGCGGCUUGUUAAGUCACUUGUGAAAUCUCUGAGCUUAACUCAGAACGGUCAAGUGAUACUGAUGUGCUAGAGUGCAGAAGGGGCAACCGGAAUUCUUGGUGUAGCGGUGAAAUGCGUAGAUAUCAAGAGGAACACCUGAGGUGAAGACGGGUUGCUGGGCUGACACUGACGCUGAGGCGCGAAAGCUAGGGUAGCAAACGGG